Molecule: ribosomal RNA, 250 nt
Filed under: uncultured bacterium
Lineage: Bacteria
Description: partial 16S ribosomal RNA
Rfam family: Bacterial small subunit ribosomal RNA
Source: RNAcentral
UACGGAGGGUGCAAGCGUUAUCCGGAAUCAUUGGGUUUAAAGGGUCCGCAGGCGGGUUUAUAAGUCAGUGGUGAAAGCCUACAGCUCAACUGUAGAACUGCCAUUGAUACUGUAGAUCUUGAAUUCGGUCGAAGUGGGCGGAAUAUGACAUGUAGCGGUGAAAUGCUUAGAUAUGUCAUAGAACACCGAUAGCGAAGGCAGCUCACUAGGCCUGGAUUGACGCUCAGGGACGAAAGCGUGGGGAGCAAAC